Molecule: long non-coding RNA, 610 nt
Organism: Bos taurus (domestic cattle)
Lineage: Eukaryota; Metazoa; Chordata; Mammalia; Artiodactyla; Bovidae
Source: Ensembl
ACACCCUUCCCGGCCGGCCAGCAUCUGUAGUGGGCGAGGAUGAGGAACCAGGUGAAGUGGAUGUCUUCUCAUUAGCCCAUCCCAAUCCCCAGCCCGAAGAGGCAGAAACCAUCCCGGGUUUGAGUCUUGUCUUGAGCACCCUGAGGCCAGGACACAGGUUCGUGCUGCCCUUUCUUCACCACUCCCCAACCCCCACCCCCACAUCAUGGGGGAAACUGAAAGAGAUCCCCCUCCCUCCCUGGAAGCCCUGUGGGCCCUCUGCAUCUUGCUUUGCCCUUGUGAUUUUUUCAGAGCAAAGCCCUCUUGAAGAAGCCCACCUGGUUCAUCACCCAGCAGCAUCAGUAAGCUGGACAUUCAUGCAUCUAACACAAUAGGCUCUACCAAAACUGUCCUGCCAUGGUGGGGGAGAUGACGCCAGAGUACCCUCCACCUGUUUGCCAACACGGUCAGUGGGAGAGUCACCAAGCCCACCACCUACAGACCUCGCUUCCCAGGUCCAUACAGUCAAGGCUACGGUAGUUACGUACGGUUGUGAGAGCUGGACCAUAAAAAAGGCAGAGCACCAAAGAAUUGAUGCUUUUGAACUGUGGUGCUGGAGAAGACUCUUGAG